RNAcentral lists this ribosomal RNA (209 nucleotides) under uncultured fungus. RNAcentral's name for it is "partial small subunit ribosomal RNA". The stretch from base 83 to 209 matches the Rfam family "Eukaryotic small subunit ribosomal RNA", at positions 734 to 864 of the family's 1831-position model. Lineage: Eukaryota; Fungi. The record is from RNAcentral.
GGUUUCGUCUCGGGUAGCCUCACGGUUUUCACCCGGUCCGGAAUCCUCCUCGUGGCAAACCAGGGUUCUCUUAACUGGGCGCUCUGGGGAACCACGACGUUUACUUUGAAAAAAUUAGAGUGUUUCAGGCAGGCAAUUGCUUGGAUACUGCAGCAUGGAAUAAUGGAAUAGGACUUUGACCUAUUUGUUGGUUUCUCGAGGUCAAAGUA